GAUGAAGAACGUAGCGAAAUGCGAUAAGUAAUGUGAAUUGCAGAAUUCAGUGAAUCAUCGAAUCUUUGAACGCACAUUGCGCCCGCCAGUAUUCUGGCGGGCAUGCCUGUUCGAGCGUCAUUUCAACCAUCAAGCCCCCGGCUUGUGUUGGGGACCUGCGGCUGCCGCAGGCCCUGAAAACCAGUGGCGGGCUCGCUAGUCACUCCGAGCGUAGUAGUUCCAUCUCGCUCAGGGCGUGCUGCGGGUUCCGGCCGUUAAAAGCCUUAUUUACCCAAGGUUGACCUCGGAUCAGGUAGGAAGACCCGCUGAACUUAAGCAUAUCAAUAAGCGGAGGA
RNAcentral lists this unclassified non-coding RNA (335 nucleotides) under soil metagenome. Its description in RNAcentral is "partial contains 5.8S ribosomal RNA, internal transcribed spacer 2, and large subunit ribosomal RNA". The stretch from base 1 to 120 matches the Rfam family "5.8S ribosomal RNA", at positions 35 to 154 of the family's 154-position model. The record is from RNAcentral.